AUACUCAAACACAUCUAUAUAAUGGUUAGUAAAUAGGCAUAGAAAGUCAUAAUAGAAAUUCCUCAUAAAUUUUUUUUUUUAAAAAAAAAGUAAAACAAAAAAAAAAGUGAUUGUAGAAUAUAUUUUAGUAUUCAAAAGUAAGAAAUAUAGUGCUUGAUUUCACUUGUUUUACCUCUACAACGUGGUGUGCACCCCAAAGAGGAAGGCAUGAUUACUUCUAAGAUGGCAAUUAAGGAGAUGAGAUGAGUGCCUAAGAAAAUAAUUCGGCAAAGGAGAGAGGAGGUGACUAUGGCACAGUUGGAGGACUUACUCAAUCAAAUGGAUGAAAAAGGCCAACAUGACGUUAAGUACCUAAUUGGAACUCAUUAUGUUCUACAACGUCAAAAAUUGAUGUUACAAGGACACCAACUAAGUACUUUAACUCGCCUUGGGUUUGGUGCUGUCGGAGGUAUUACUUGUCAUCUCGAGUAUCCAUUCUUAACACCUAUGUCACUCGGGAAGGCUAGAGAGUUUAGGAAAGAGGCCUAUUGUUACAUUUUUACCUCCUAAAUUAUUGCAAGACAUGCUUUAGCUUUAACCUAGCUCACCUAAGACGCACUUUACUUAAUUGCUCUAUUUUUCCCCACUUUUAUCGUUUCCUUAGAAGGGUAUUUGAGUUCUUCAUGCCAUUGGAGAAUUGGCUACUCAUGGUACAAGAAAAUAUAGAAGAAAACAAAAAUGAUCGUAGUGUCUGGGGUUUGUUAGUGUUGGGUAGGAAAUUCUUUGACCCCACAAAACACCUUGAAAGUCCCAUCUUAACUAUGGAGUGGGUUGGCUUCUCUCAUGAUGAUUUAUCUAAAACAUAUCGCUUAAGCAGCUUUGGAUAUGAGCAAAAAUAUGUUCAGUUUAAGUCUAUGAUGUUACAAAAAAAUGGUUAUGACCCUAGUGCCCAUCUUGCUCUUUGCACUGCCAACCCCUUCAAAAAUAGUGACUACCCAGAUGAGUACAAAAUAAUGUUGGAAUUUGCUGGAAAGGUAUGGACAAGGAAUUUUUUUUUUUUAGAGCAGUUGGGAGCCAACUUCGGCGGAUGAAUGGAAUGGUGAAGAUGAGGGAUAUGUGACCCCUGAAUCAAAUGAAGAUUGGGAUUGGGAACAAGGCGAUGAUGUUGCAUCAAGUCAAGAAGACGAAAGCGAAGAUGAUAGUGAAAACGACAAUGAUGUGUCAAGUGACGGAAGCGAAGUCUAGAGUAUGUUAGGUUUGGAUAUUAAUUCGGGUUUUGAAGUUUCUCUUGUUUAAAUUAAAGCAAUGACAGUGUUAAAUUAUGCUUCUACGAGGAAGUUCUAAAUUAAGGGUGUACUUAUGGUUAUCGGGGUCUAUUAAUGUAGGUUAUUAUUGUCUGAAGUAUUCUAUAGAGUAAGGGUAGUUUUCUAUGAAUUAAGGGUGUACUUAUUGGUGCAUAUAAGGGCAACCAAAAAUGUAUUUCGUUCUUCUUGUUAUUAAAUUAUUAUUAAAUUAUUAAUGGUUUUCUUA
Long non-coding RNA from Chenopodium quinoa (quinoa), 1509 nucleotides. RefSeq lists it as uncharacterized. The transcript has 2 exons. NCBI's taxonomy places the organism in Eukaryota, Viridiplantae, Streptophyta, Magnoliopsida, Caryophyllales, Amaranthaceae. The record is from RefSeq and is a predicted model, not a curated record.